AGGGGUGUCUGAAGAACUGAUUGAUUCUGCUCUUAGGCAUCAAUUCAGUUACAGUCAUGAUGAAUACAUCCCUGAGUUUGUGGAUGACAGGGUGAUUAGGAUGGUUGGUGCUGAGAAUGAAGAUCUUGAAGAAGGAGAAAUCCCAGAUGCUGAAGUCUUUGCUGAUGAACUUGCAUAUCACAAUGACAUCUUUCCUGCUGAAGAGUUUGAAAUUGCAAAUCCACAAGACAUUGCUAAUGUUGCUAGGGAUUAUGCUGAGCAAAGGAGAGCAAGGGAGAAGUUAGAAAACCAAAGACGGAUUCGAAGGGAAAGGAGACUUGCCAACUUACAUAAAGAUGGAGCUGAAUGGGAUGCUGCUAG
Molecule: long non-coding RNA, 360 nt
Filed under: Daucus carota (carrot)
Lineage: Eukaryota; Viridiplantae; Streptophyta; Magnoliopsida; Apiales; Apiaceae
Description: long non-coding RNA (DCAR_LNC001106)
Source: RNAcentral